Molecule: long non-coding RNA, 1147 nt
Organism: Cyprinus carpio carpio
Lineage: Eukaryota; Metazoa; Chordata; Actinopteri; Cypriniformes; Cyprinidae
Source: Ensembl
GUUGAAAAUGUUUAAUGCUAAAUGGUUGAAAAAGGUUAAUAAACUUUUAAAUUAUUUAUAUUAAAUUAAUAUUAUUAUUAUUAUUAUUAUUUUAAUAGCAUUUUACAAUAUUUUAAUCAUGAUACCUAUUCUAAAAUCUAAAGGUAUAUGUUCUCAUCAUUAACAACAAUAAAACUAAAUACAUUUAGCUCCUUUAUCACACUGAAACAAUUCCUACUGGUUGUUUUACUUUAUUGCUUUGAUCAUGAUUGGUUAAUCUGGCUGUCAUCCAGGAAACUGGACAGUGAAUCGGUUCGCGCCUUUCUACAUUUGAAAAUAUGACCGUUAUUAUCGUUCUUUCUGUGAGUGAGUCGGCUGACUGUGAGCUGCUGCUAGUUGUAACUGCUCGGUCGGUCCCGAAUUAUUUUAUAUUUGCCUGUUAAUUUUUUUUUUUUUUUUGAGCGAAUUUGAGUCGUGACAUGUCAAUGGAGAACAAAAACUGUAAUGUGAACACAAGAAGUGUCAGAUGUGUUCUGCGAGGUCCUGCAAACAUACUGGCAAAUUGAGAGUCAUCAAGGAUCCAGCUUAUUAUUGAAAUAUUGGACAGUACAGAAAGCACACAAGUGGGAGAGAGUGGAGGGGACGGCAUCAGAAAGGACCUAGGGCUGGGACUCUUUCAAGGAUCACCUGAAGCACAACCACACUAUAUGCACGAGGCUGUUGGUUCUAACAUUUUAGGUUCCCCUUCGGUAGAAAUCACAUUCCGCGUUCCCUGCGGUAAAAAAAGACACAGUCCGGGGGGGUUCCGUUAGAAAUGCCCCCCCCUCGGGGUGCCCCCUCUAACGCUGGUUCCUUGGAAUUGUCCUAACCUUCCCUGCCCUUACAGCGUCCCUGGUUGCCGGUUCCAUUCUCGGAUUGUUCAACACAUUUUCACUGCACAAAUGUACACAUCUCUUGUAAUGAGACACAUUACUAAAACAUGUUUUUUACAGAAACUGUAGUUUUCCACCAAAAUAAAAGAUCAGCUGGUUUCAGUCAUAAAGGUACAAGGGUUUCUCUUGCAAGUGCCACACAAAAUAUGCAUUUAUAUGCAAAAAUAUGCCAAAUUAUUUUACAAAAACCUUUAAAUAUUAUUGUAUUUGAAUUGUUCUUCUACGUGUUUUUAACA